AGUGUCCGAAAAAUCUGCUUAGACAUAAAAAUCAAUCAAAGAAAAGGAAGAAAGAUUGAUUUCAAGCUACAAAUUACAUAAUUCAGAUGGCCAUCAAUUAUUCCAAGCUCCAAAGCCAUAAUUUUCCUGGAAAACAGAAUCCUCUUAUUUGGGAUCCUAUUUCUUUCUGUGUUGCAUCUAAAUGAGACUGGGCCAUCUGAGCAACUCAAAGUAUUAAAGAACUGAGACUCUUUAUUUGGACGUAAUGAGGGAUUCCAAAAAUAGCCUUAGCAGUGCUUAACAGAUUGGAAAGA
Molecule: non-coding RNA, 293 nt
Organism: Kogia breviceps (pygmy sperm whale)
Lineage: Eukaryota; Metazoa; Chordata; Mammalia; Artiodactyla; Physeteridae
Source: RefSeq, a predicted model, not a curated record